RNAcentral lists this ribosomal RNA (279 nucleotides) under uncultured bacterium. RNAcentral describes it as "partial 16S ribosomal RNA". It matches the Rfam family "Bacterial small subunit ribosomal RNA", at positions 506 to 784 of the family's 1533-position model. The record is from RNAcentral.
UGCCAGCCGCCGCGGUAAUACUGAGGGUGCGAGCGUUAAUCGGAAUUACUGGGCGUAAAGCGCGCGUAGGCGGCCAAGCCAGUCGGAUGUGAAAGCCCCGGGCUCAACUCGGGAAUUGCAUUCGAUACUACUUGGCUAGAGUUUGGUAGAGGGUGACGGAAUUCCAGGUGUAGCGGUGAAAUGCGUAGAUAUAGGAAGGAACACCAGUGGCGAAGGCGACACCCUGGACCAAUACUGACACUGAGGUGCGAAAGCGUGGGGAGCAAACAGGAUUAGAUA